UGGGGAAUAUUGGACAAUGGGCGAAAGCCUGAUCCAGCCAUGCCGCGUGUGUGAAGAAUGUCUUCGGAUUGUAAAGCACUUUAAGUGGGGAGGAAGGGCAGUAAGCGAAUACCUUGCUGUUUUGACGUUACCGACAGAAUAAGCACCGGCUAACUCUGUGCCAGCAGCCGCGGUAAUAGAGCGGGUGCAAGCGUUAAUCGGAAUUACUGGGCGUAAAGCGCGCGUCGGUGGUUCGUUAAGUUGAAUGUGAAAGCCCCGCGCUCGACUUAGGAACUGCAUCCAAAGCUGGCGAGGUGGAGUAGAGCAGGGGGGGGUGGAAUUUCCUGUGUAGCGGUGAGAUGCGAUGAUAUAGGAAGGAAAACCAGUGGCGAAGGCGACGACCUAGGCUCAUACUGACACUGAGGUGCGAAAGCGUGGGGAGCAAACAGG
Molecule: ribosomal RNA, 429 nt
Filed under: Pseudomonadota bacterium
Lineage: Bacteria; Pseudomonadati; Pseudomonadota
Description: Proteobacteria bacterium partial 16S ribosomal RNA
Rfam family: Bacterial small subunit ribosomal RNA
Source: RNAcentral